Molecule: ribosomal RNA, 274 nt
Filed under: uncultured bacterium
Lineage: Bacteria
Description: partial 16S ribosomal RNA
Rfam family: Bacterial small subunit ribosomal RNA
Source: RNAcentral
AUACGGAGGGUGCAAGCGUUACUCGGAAUCACUGGGCGUAAAGCGCGCGCAGGCGGCUAUUUAAGUUGGAUGUGAAAGCCUACGGCUCAACCGUAGAACUGCAUCCAAAACUAUUUAGCUAGAGUGUGGGAGAGGAAGAUGGAAUUAGUUGUGUAGGGGUAAAAUCCGUAGAGAUAACUAGGAAUACCAAAAGCGAAGGCAAUCUUCUGGAACACUACUGACGCUGCGGCGCGAAAGCGUGGGGAGCAAACAGGAUUAGAAACCCUAGUAGUCC